GACGAACGCUGGCGGCGUGCCUAAUACAUGCAAGUCGAGCGAAUCACUGGGAGCUUGCUCCCGGUGGUUAGCGGCGGACGGGUGAGUAACACGUGGGCAACCUGCCUGUAAGACUGGGAUAACACCGGGAAACCGGUGCUAAUACCGGAUAAUCCUUUUCCUCUCAUGAGGAAAAGCUGAAAGUCGGUUUCGGCUGACACUUACAGAUGGGCCCGCGGCGCAUUAGCUAGUUGGCGAGGUAACGGCUCACCAAGGCGACGAUGCGUAGCCGACCUGAGAGGGUGAUCGGCCACACGGGGACUGAGACACGGCCCAGACUCCUACGGGAGGCAGCAGUAGGGAAUCUUCCACAAUGGACGAAAGUCUGAUGGAGCAACGCCGCGUGAGCGAUGAAGGCCGUCGGGUCGUAAAGCUCUGUUGUUAGGGAAGAACAAGUACCGGAGUAACUGCCGGUACCUUGACGGUACCUAACCAGAAAGCCACGGCUAACUACGUGCCAGCAGCCGCCGCGG
RNAcentral lists this ribosomal RNA (512 nucleotides) under uncultured bacterium. RNAcentral's name for it is "partial 16S ribosomal RNA". It matches the Rfam family "Bacterial small subunit ribosomal RNA", at positions 28 to 523 of the family's 1533-position model. The record is from RNAcentral.